This 253-nucleotide ribosomal RNA is filed under the name uncultured bacterium. RNAcentral describes it as "partial 16S ribosomal RNA". It matches the Rfam family "Bacterial small subunit ribosomal RNA", at positions 524 to 776 of the family's 1533-position model. The record is from RNAcentral.
UACGGAGGGGACUAGCGUUGUUCGGAAUUACUGGGCGUAAAGCGCGCGUAGGCGGAUUUGCAAGUCGGGGGUGAAAGCCCGAGGCUCAACCUCGGAACUGCCUUCGAUACUGCAAAUCUCGAGUCCGAGAGAGGUGAGUGGAAUUCCUAGUGUAGAGGUGAAAUUCGUAGAUAUUCGCAAGAACACCAGUGGCGAAGGCGGCUCACUGGCCCGAUACUGACGCUGAGGUGCGAAAGCGUGGGGAGCAAACAGG